RNAcentral lists this unclassified non-coding RNA (240 nucleotides) under uncultured Capnodiales. RNAcentral's name for it is "sequence contains 5.8S rRNA gene, ITS2, 28S rRNA gene". The stretch from base 1 to 52 matches the Rfam family "5.8S ribosomal RNA", at positions 103 to 154 of the family's 154-position model. Lineage: Eukaryota; Fungi; Ascomycota; Dothideomycetes; Capnodiales. The record is from RNAcentral.
AACGCACAUUGCGCCCUUUGGUAUUCCGAAGGGCAUGCCUGUUCGAGCGUCAUUUCACCACUCAAGCCUAGCUUGGUAUUGGGCGUCGCGGUUCCGCGCGCCUUAAAGUCUCCGGCUGAGCUGUCCGUCUCUAAGCGUUGUGGAAUUUAACUAUUCGCUUCGGAGUGCGGGUGGCCGCGGCCGUUAAAUCUUUAUUCAAAGGUUGACCUCGGAUCAGGUAGGGAUACCCGCUGAACUUAA